RNAcentral lists this long non-coding RNA (1422 nucleotides) under Salvator merianae (Argentine black and white tegu). Its description in RNAcentral is "lncRNA (ENSSMRG00000003753.1)". The record is from RNAcentral. Lineage: Eukaryota; Metazoa; Chordata; Lepidosauria; Squamata; Teiidae.
CACUUCUGUAUCCCAGCCAAGAAAACUGCAUAGAGGGGCCCAUGCAGUCAACCAGGAAUUGACCACAACUCGGUGGCAUCCAACAACAAAAAUAUUCAUCAUGCAGGUUGUCAAAGCUUUUUAAUACACGGAUAAGCCUCUUCCUUAAGAAAUAAAAACUGUUUUCACAAACGCGGUCAAGUUUAAGAAUAAACCAGCUCCUGCCAGAUCAAAAGNAAAGCCAAAAAGACGACAGGAGCUGCAGGAAAUCCAGAACUUCUGAAAUAAAUGGUGGAAACAAAGCGAGGAAAGCCGGAGGAGGGGGGUUGGAGCCCCCCCAAAACGGGUCUGUUUUAGGCCAACUAGGUUCUUUGUAAAAAUAGCGCCCUGCUCUAUAAUGGGGGNAGAGACAGGAAAAAGAAAAAGGGAAGCCCUCGAUUUCCACAGCCCUGCUGCUACUGAAAGUCUGGGCAAGCGUGAAUUCAGGAANUGCGUGCAGAAAUGGAAAGCAGCUGCAGGAAAGGUUCAGAGAGUCGCGAAGAUCAGGCUGGGACUCGUGGCAGAAAAUGGCGACAGCGUCUCGAGGAAAUGAGGAGAGAAAACAGGCCGCCAGACCCACUCACCCUUUGCCAACCAGCUGCCCUGCAAAUGCCACUGGGCACACCUGAGAGAAGGAUGGCAGGGAUUCCACAGGUCCGGGCUGUUCCUGCCUUAACUCAGCUGCGGAGGAAGCCNAACGCCACAGGUCGACAUCCACAGACCCCCAGAAGCCCCCCGGGGGCUGGGGUGUGUGCCAGCCGUCGGUCGACAAGAACACGCGCUGGGGGCUUUUCGGACGCCCCGUGCAGCUCAGUCACGGAGCAGCUUCCUGGAAGGCAAAGCAGCGGAGAGUUUGAUCCCGGAAGGCAGCGGUAAAAAGCGCUUCUGUAUCUGCCAGGAAAACCACAUCACUGGCGUGACCCCGGGUCAACGGUACCGAGUCAGAACAGAACACAGAGACACCUUUGUUUCGCUCCCACGCUCGGGAGAAGUCUCUGAAGUCUGCUAACGAAGGCCAGGUAAGAGAGGAAUGUGACACGAGCGAUGUUUUUAUACGCUGGUGAGAUAUUGCGAAGAGGCAAAAAUUAUGGCUACUCACGGGGAUAAAGUUUCUUACUGUUACUAAGCAGUUGAGCCUUGCUGUUACUUGAAAGCCAGAAAACUGAGUGGAGAAGAGACUGCAGGAUGGGUUGCUCUGCCAUCUUGCUCCCAGNGGUGGCCCCUCCCUUAUCCAAGUGCCACCAGAAAGCUAUGAACCAUCCUUCCUGAUAGGAAUGGAGCAGAGACAGCAGGCUGGGAUCUUUGCCUGUAUUUAUAGUGAUUCAACUGUGAUCCGCUCUGAAAUCUUCAGGUAUAGGGCAGGACAGAAAUAAAUAAAUAAAUAUAAAAUUUCCCUGAAUGAUU